Molecule: ribosomal RNA, 387 nt
Filed under: uncultured bacterium
Lineage: Bacteria
Description: bacterial SSU rRNA
Rfam family: Bacterial small subunit ribosomal RNA
Source: RNAcentral
AACGAACGCUGGCGGCGUGCCUAACACAUGCAAGUCGUGCGAGAAAGUUCCUUCGGGAGCGAGUAAAGCGGCGCACGGGUGAGUAACACGUAGGUAACCUGCCCCCCAGUCUGGAACAACUAGAGGAAACUCUAGCUAAUGCCGGAUGAGACCACAAUCCCUUCGGGGGUUGCGGCCAAAGAUGGCCUCUACUUGUAAGCUAUCGCUGAGGGAUGGGCCUGCGGGCCAUUAGCUUGUUGGUGAGGUAACGGCUCACCAAGGCUGUGAUGGCUAGCUGGUCUGAGAGGAUGACCAGCCACACUGGGACUGAGACACGGCCCAGACUCCUACGGGAGGCAGCAGUGGGGAAUAUUAGCGCAAUGGCGAAAGCCUGACGCAGCGACGCCG